Molecule: ribosomal RNA, 253 nt
Filed under: uncultured bacterium
Lineage: Bacteria
Description: partial 16S ribosomal RNA
Rfam family: Bacterial small subunit ribosomal RNA
Source: RNAcentral
UACGUAGGGUGCGAGCGUUAAUCGGAAUUACUGGGCGUAAAGCGUGCGCAGGCGGUGAUGUAAGCCAGAUGUGAAAUCCCCGGGCUUAACCUGGGAAUGGCAUUUGGGACUGCAAGGCUAGAGUGUGGCAGAGGAGACUGGAAUUCCUGGUGUAGCAGUGAAAUGCGUAGAUAUCAGGAGGAAUACCGAUGGCGAAGGCAGGUCUCUGGGCUAACACUGACGCUCAUGCACGAAAGCGUGGGGAGCAAACAGG